GUUAAAAAAAUCUUAUAUAUAAGAAUAUGGGUAAAAUUUAAAAAUUAAUUAAAGUAAUAUUAAUUUUAUAUGUUUAAGUAUAGUUUAUAGAAAUAAUAAUUUAAUUAUAGUUAAUUAGUAUUGUGAAAGAAUGAUGAAAUAUGUGAAAAUAUGAUUAUAAAAUAAGUAAUUUUAAUUUAUUGUAUCUUGUGUAUCAGAGUUUAUUAAUUUAAAUUUUUUUAUAAAAAAAUUUCGAAAUUAAAAGAGUUAAUUAAUUAUUUAAUUUAUUGUGGCAUAAAUAUUUAAAAUAAUUAAUUAGAAAUGAAAUGUUAUUCGUUUUUAAUUAUAUCUAAUUUUUAAAGAAAUAAAUUUAAUUUAGAUAAUUGAGUUUUAAUAAAUAAAUUAAAUUAUUUAUUGAAAUUUAAUUAUUAAUAAGUUAGGGGAUAAGCUUUAAUUUAAAAUUUUAAAAUUUUAAAAAUAUAUUAAAAAUUUAUAAAAAUAAAAUUAUUUAUUAUUUUUAGUUUUUUAUAAAAAAUUUUUAAUUUAUAUAAUAUUUAAUAAAAUAAAAUUUAAUAAAUUUAUUUAAAAUAAUGAUUAUAAUAGUAAAAAUAUAUUUAAUAAUGAUAAAAUUAGUAUAAUUUAAAAAUAAAUUAAUUAAUAUUUGAAAGUUGAAAUUAAGGAAUUCGGCAAAAUUAUAUUCGCUUGUUUAUCAAAAACAUGUCUUUUUGUUUAAAAAUUUAAAGUCUAAUCUGCCCACUGAAAUUAAUUUUAAAGGGCCGCAGUAUUUUAACUGUGCAAAGGUAGCAUAAUAAUUAGUUUUUUAAUUGAAAACUAGAAUGAAUGAUUGGACGAAAUAUAGGCUGUCUCAUUUUUAUUUAAAUUGAAUUUAAUUUUUUAGUUAAAAAGCUAAAAUUUGUUUAAAAGACGAGAAGACCCUUUAGAUUUUUAUAUUAAAUGUGGCUUAAAAUAUUUAUUUGAGGUUUUAAAUUAUAUUUAAUAUUAUAUUGGGGUAAUAAAAAAAUAAAUUAAACUUUUUUAUAAUUUAACAUAAAUUAGUGAGUGUUUGAUCCGUUGUAUAAUGAUUAAAAGAUUAAAUUACCUAAGGGAUAACAGCGUAAUUUUAAUUUUAAGUUCGAAUUGAAAUUAGAGAUUGCGACCUCGAUGUUGGAUUAAGAAAAAAUUUAGGGGCAAAAAUUUAAAUUUUAGGUCUGUUCGACCUUUAAAAUCUUACAUGAUCUGAGUUCAAACCGGUGUAAGCCAGGUUGGUUUCUAUCUUUAGAUACAGUAAAAUAUUUUAGUACGAAAGGAUUUAAUAUUUAAAAUAAUUUUUAUUGAGAAGAAUUUUAUUAAAAUAAAUUU
This 1338-nucleotide ribosomal RNA is filed under the name Apsilochorema hwangi. Its description in RNAcentral is "16S ribosomal RNA". The record is from RNAcentral. Lineage: Eukaryota; Metazoa; Arthropoda; Insecta; Trichoptera; Hydrobiosidae.